CCUUAUCCUGUCUGCUGAUGUUUUUAUAAAUAAGUUUUAUUGGGACACAGCCACACUCACUCAAUUAUGGAUUGUCUGUGGCUACUUUCCCACUCUAGUGUCAGAGUUGAGUAACUGCCACAGAGACCAUAGAGUUCAAAAGCCUAAAAUCCUUAUUAUCUGACCCUGUAUGGAAAUGUGGGAAAGCUGAUCCCUGUUUUAGGAAGCCAGGAUCGAUCACUGUGUGUUGGUAACGAAAGGUAGACUGGCAUGCCAUGCCAGCUCACGAACUGGGCUAGAAUUUGGAGAAUAGCUCAUUCAUUUAUUGUGCUUAGGAGGCCAUGCUUGGCCUUUCUUUCUUCCAUAGGUACUUAAUCUUUGCUAGCUCUCUUAGAAAUCUAAUCCAUUGGUCACAAGGACACAAAGAAGUGAGUAUGAGUGAAACCGGUCACCUGAAGUCCAUGUCCAACACUGUACACUCAGCAGUGUCCAGUUCACUCUCUGCUACCUGCCUCCCGCCCCUCAGCACAGGUAACAACAGUGAGGAGGCCUCCCCUGGUAGAGGGCUGCAAAGAUGCUGCAUAUCACUUGGGGGCUGUGGGAAUCUUUGCUGAAAUGUUUAAAUUUCACAAGAGGAAAUUUUUAAAAUUCAAGAGUUGAGGUGGCAAUUGGGAAAGGAUCUGAAAUGGUUUGUUUCCACUAGUUCUGACAGUUUCCAAGUCUGACAGCACUUCCCUACCCCUUCCUCUUUGGUUUUAGCCAUUUCAAGUAGGAAAGAGAAAAGAGAAUCAGUAAGAGCUGAUAAAGGAGGGGAAGCAAAAAGGAAGGCAGAACAAGAGAGAUUAUUAUGUUCUGAAAGAUUAAAAUUGUUUCUAUACACGAACGUGGUUGAAUUUGAACCUAAAUAAAGUCCACCCCUGACACAUUUUGGCAACUCUCAAAAUCUGUAAGGUACCAACCUGAGUCAUUGCGUGUGUGCCUGCGUUCUCACUCAGUCAUAACUCUUUGCAGCCCCAUGGACUUAGCCUGCCAGCCUCCUCUGUCCAUGGGAAUACUGGAGUGGGUUGCCAUUUCCUCCUCCAGAGGAUCGUCAGGUCCAGGGAUCGAACCUGCGCCUCCUGCAUUGGCGGCCCACAGAGGCUAAGAAAUUUCCCAGGAGAGAAACGUCCUUAGGGCAGAGUGCUGCAAACGACCUAAGCCUGGUGAAACCACUCACAAUCAGUGCAGAGUGUGGCCACCUGGAGCUGAGCCGUGGAAGCCUUCUGCCCCUUCUCUCGCCCUGGGCCCCCGCUCCUCGCCUUCUGUCCAGCCCCUUGCCCUCCGUCCGGCCCCCAACCACGCACAGCCUCUGAGUUUAAUUUGGAGAUGGUGAGAAUUGGCAGUAAAAUGGCCAAAGUUGCUCUUUGAAAGGCGUCCGAUCCUGGAUGAUAGGAAUGCUGUUUUGGUCAGAGACCCAAAGAUAAGGGCCGGCGCUCCCUCUUUCCUUGGUGGACGCCUGUGGCUUCCGACUUCGUAUUUGAGCACUUCGGAGACUCGAGUGGUAGCGCUCACUUCUCUGUGGCCCCCGGAGGCAGCAGCAAGGCCAUUCCCACAGCUUAGCAGGAGCAAAGGUCAUGACAGAGGGUUUUCCUGGAGAGACUCACGGCAGAGAUACAGCAGUGGACACUCCCAUUUCCUGACGGAAUCUGCAGUGUGCACGCCAGAGGACAGUGGUUAAGAUGUGACACUGAUGGCCGAGGUUGCUGACCUAAAGGAGCUUACACUCUUGCAGCCAAGAGAACCGAUGAGCAUGUAGCUAAAUCCCUAAGUCCACGGGAGCAGUGACUCCACCACGCCAGGUUUCUCUUUCUCUCUAACCCUAGGUCCUUUGGCUUCCAGGGAAAAUGUUCAAAAUACUACUCACCACUGUACAGGCAACAGCUGUUAACUUCUUCCAGGAUCUACUGACCCCAGACGGCUUUGUUAGCACAUUGUGUGUGUCCGGUGCACAGUGAGGCCAUGCAAACUGAAAUGUCAGAGUUUGGAACAGAGAAAGGUUUAUUGUAGGGUCACAGAAAGCAACGGUUGGCUUAUGCCCUAGAAAGUCCUGAGCUCCCCGAAGGGUUUUGGCAAAGCAUUUUUACAAGUCAGAUGGGGCGGUCACAGGAUAUGUGAUCAGCUUGUGCACAAUUCUCUGGUUGGGUGAUGGUGCGUGAACAGGAUGGUAUCACAGGGGUCGGUCCUUGGGCUCCAGGAGGCCUGAGGCUGUGUCUCAGGUCAAGCAGUUACCAUCUUUCAUUUGGUGGGGCGUUUUCACUUCUGCAAGACAACUCAGGAAAUGUGCAUCAAAUGCUGUUAUCUGGGUAUUUCAGAGAGGAGCUGCAGCAGAGGAUGGCCCCGUAGCGUCCUGCUUGGUUACAGCUUCCCCUGGCCCUGGGUCUUGGAGGGACUGGAAAUCUGGUGACCAGUGCUCCUGGGAACCCUGCUUCCUUGUGCUGUGCCCAAGGGCAUGCAGCUUCUACCUACAUACUCAGCGCCAGCUUCCCUGCUAGAUGGUCAGAACCUUUCAGUGAGCUUCUCUCUGUCCAUUUGGGAGUGAGGAGUCAAUCCCAGAGGCACGCUGGGUACUCAACCUCCAUUUCCUUCACUCAAGGCCUCUCCCCUGAAGGCUAACACCAUGGAGCAGACCCAGGUUUUGUGAGAUCUGAAGCUUAUAUAAUUGUGUGUGUGUGCACACAUGCAUCCAUGCACGUGUGUGUGUGUGCCCAUGCAAGCACUUUAAAGAAAAGAAUGCAAAAUUAGGCAUAAUAAUUAGAUAUGAAGGUGUAUAUUUAGAAUGUGAAAGAAGUCAUAGAAAAUUAAAAAAUAAUUAAGCUAACAAACACCAGAAAUGUCACAAAAAUUCAGCAAAACAGUAAUUAUUAACUGCCCAGGGUAUCUCUAUAAUACUUAUCUAUCUGUGACUGCAUAUUCUGGCAACCCACUCCAGUAUUCUUGCCUGGAGAAUCCCAUGGACAGAGGAACCGGGUGGGCUACACUCUACAGGGUCGCACAGAGUUGGACACGACUGAAGUGACUUAGCAUGUACAUACUCUUCGAGCACACCCUCACACAUGAAAGAUUUUCUAGUAUCAUUUUGUGAGAGACAACAGCAGGAUGGUGCUAUGGAUUGAAUGUUUGUGUGCCCUUCUCCCAAAUUCAGAUGUUGAAAUCUAAUCAUCAUGGUCUUGGUAUUUGGAGGUGGGGCUCUUGGGAGGUAACUGGGUCAGGAGCACAGAGCCAUCAACAUUGAGGCAAGACCAGCCACAAGAUGACCAGCAAGAAGAUUACCACUCACUAAAGGCUCAGAUAAUGGUUAGCAUUCUUCAAUAAAGUAUUUUUUAUUAAGA
Long non-coding RNA from Bubalus bubalis (water buffalo), 3347 nucleotides. RefSeq lists it as uncharacterized. The transcript has 2 exons. Lineage: Eukaryota; Metazoa; Chordata; Mammalia; Artiodactyla; Bovidae. The record is from RefSeq and is a predicted model, not a curated record.